AAAGCGAGAAAGCGUGCCUGCAAAGUAAACAUUUAGCUGUGGAAUCAUUGAAAUAUUGAUUAUUUCUAAGUAGUGUAAUUAUAAUACUUAUAUUUAUACUAUUGUGCUUAAAGGAAUUGCAGUUUAGAAGAUUCUUACCCUAUAAUAUGUAACCUACAACCUAUAUAGUGAACAAAAUCUGAACUUAUGUGUACGGAUACAUAGUACGGGAACUGUAGUACGGAAACAUAGCGCAAAUCUUGCGAUUCUAUCUUGCUUAACAUUAGACCGGUUCAACAAGUCAUAUCGCUACAAAUUGGGACUAAAC
This is a long non-coding RNA of Armigeres subalbatus, 307 nucleotides long. RefSeq lists it as uncharacterized. The record is from RefSeq and is a predicted model, not a curated record. NCBI's taxonomy places the organism in Eukaryota, Metazoa, Arthropoda, Insecta, Diptera, Culicidae. The transcript is spliced from 3 exons.